This is a long non-coding RNA of Enhydra lutris kenyoni (northern sea otter), 2209 nucleotides long. RefSeq lists it as uncharacterized. The transcript has 3 exons. The record is from RefSeq and is a predicted model, not a curated record. Lineage: Eukaryota; Metazoa; Chordata; Mammalia; Carnivora; Mustelidae.
GGGGAGGCAGGGAGGAGAAAUUACUGCACUGGCAAUUGUUCGAGAACAGCCUGCAAAGCUCGCACUCAACGUAGGUCUCUUCCCACCCCCAGUACACCCACGGGGGAGCAGGGGCUGGCUCCAGCUCUUGCUCAUGGGCAGGGCACAGAGGUGUGGCAAUUUUGUGCAGAAAGAGGGACAGACUGGGAGUGACCUAAUCUAGCUCCAUGAAAUCCGAGAGCCCCUGAAGCUGCUUCACAGGCAAGACUUCUGCCCAUCUGGAGAUGUAUGGACCAUGAAAAGGCCCUUUUUCUGGGAGGUUGGAAAUCUGUGCUGUCCCUCACUUGAGUGUGUAUGGAGAUGGUCUGGAAAGACAAACCGAACUUCAUCCUGACUCAGAUUAUAAGCCGGUGGGUUACCAGUGAAGGGUGAGGGGCCUGCCAAGGCUUAUUAUCAGCCUGCCAGGAUGGCGGGUGACCUCCCUGGCAUCUUGCAGCGCUUAGAGGAGCUUCUACCAUUGCCACUAUGGAAAAGGCCUGAAUUCGGGAAAAGAAGCCCACGAAAGGCUUACAAGUUCAACUCAAAGACUGGACAAGCUUCUUAGAAGCACGACUGUAGAUUAUCAAAGAGAAGAGGCAGUGACCUGGUUCAGAUCGCAGCUCACAAAACCACUGCCUAGCUUUGUGACCUUGGUCAUUUUGUUUUCACUUCCCUCAUCUGUAAAACAGGGAGAAUAAUGAUUUCUACCUUACUAGUCAUUGUGAGGUCCAAAUGAGUUAAUACUCAGAACCACGCCUGGCAUAUGGUAAGUGUCCUGGAUUGUUAUUACUACUGUUGUUACAGGUGUGACCACAGAUGGGAAGGGUUUUUUUUUUCCAUUUCUCUUUAAAUUCUCCCCAAAAAUACCCCAUUAAAAAAGCAAGGAUGAGAAACAAGUCCAAGUCUGCUUCUAGGUUCUGUUCCUUGCUAAAUUCAUUGGAAAACCAGCCCGAGUGCUACUGAUCAACCUAUCCUUGUCCAGAGAAGCCUGGAAUUACAGGAACAGAGGUCCAAUCACAGCUUAGAAGAAGGCCCCAGCCUUCCACUUUCCACUCUGCUAAGGGUGGCAAAUGCUCUGAGCUUUUGUUAUGAGCAACUCAAUAAUGGACAUCUUAGGAUAAGCUAAAAAGGAAAAGUUAGCAGGUGAAAAACAAGCAGGGCAGUCUCAAAUGAAUUUGUUCACAGUCUGUUUCAUGCCACCUCAGGGGAAUUCUACUGCCCAGAAACACUCCCUUCUCCCCAACUAAGGCCCAAACAAGGGAAAACUGAUGCCUGAGCGAAGGUCCCUCAAAUUAUCUCAGGAGCAGAAAUUCCCAGCUCCGAGCUCUCCCUGCACAAUGUAGUUGGUGAGUGGAAAGACUCCUAGGAUGAGAAUCAGGAGAUCCAGGUUCAGGUUCUUUGGCCUGAACAUGUUGGUGGCCUCUCUCAAUUGUGGUUUUCAUCUUUGCUCAGCCUGUUCCAUGAGGGGCAUCCUCAGAUGGGAAUCAAACACACACAAUGGAGACCCUCCACGACCAGGGCCCGUCACCCCCUCAGUCUGACACAUAGAGUGCUGGAGGGGGUUGCUUUGGAGUGAGGCGCACUGACCCAAUCCGUCAGCUGCACCCAGGUGAACAGUUCCUUCACGCCCCCGGGCCUGACACACGGGGGUGACAGGCAUACCUCACGGGUUUGUUCUUGAUGUGCACGAAGACCUUUCUUGGUGUCUCAAAUGUAACAGAGUUCCAAGCUCAUUAGUACCCUCAUCUCCCAUUCUUUCCCAGACAAGCCCCGUGGCCCCAGGGGAAAGGUCAACAUCAUGCACACUCUGUUCUUUCCCGUGGGGCCCUGGCCUACCGGGUUCCCUUGCCUGUGAAACCAGUCUACCCUUAUUCCCAUGUUUAAAUCCUAUCCACCCUUUAGCGCCCACUUCAAAUGCCACCUCUUCCAUGCAGCCUGCCUGAACCCUGCCUAGCCAAAGCAAACUGUCCUUUUGAACAUUCAUAGAAGUUCUGGUGCAUAUAUUUCACUCUCUGCUUUGUCUCACCAGUGGGGCAUCUUGUCUUAUCUCCUCUCUCUGCUAGGAGACUCCCUGUUGAUGGCAAGGAUUAUGCCUCUCUACAGUUACGAACACAGAAGGGGUCACAGCCUCAAGCAGGAGUUUUUCAGAACCGCAAAUUCAUAGGUCCACCUCAGACCUACUGAAUAAAAA